CCAUAUUCUCCAGCCUCUCUUUUAACUGGUCUCUCCAGGCCAAUUACUGCAAGCAGACACAGAUCAUGCCAGAGUAAAGAGUCCUUAGAGCUGCAGAGGAGAUUCACUUCAGUUCAUCACAUG
This is a long non-coding RNA of Carassius carassius (crucian carp), 123 nucleotides long. RefSeq lists it as uncharacterized. NCBI's taxonomy places the organism in Eukaryota, Metazoa, Chordata, Actinopteri, Cypriniformes, Cyprinidae. The transcript is spliced from 2 exons. The record is from RefSeq and is a predicted model, not a curated record.